GAUGUUUGUAAUAUACAAGGUAGAUAGUGAUAGUAGUAGUGAGUGUAAAGUGGCUCGUCGGUUUGACCAAAAUGGUACAGACAGCACUUGUGACCCCAGAGUCACACUACAGACAGAGAGUGACAAAGUGUUUCUACACAUCACCAACACACAACCAUCUGAUGAAGGAAGCUACACCUGUGAGUGUGUACAUAAUCGAGGAACACAUUUUUUGAAUCUCAAUAUUUCUGUCAAUGGAUCCCAUGUCACAAACAACCUUUCUUUCCAACGACCUUUCAAUGUCAUGAUAAUAACAGCCUUUGCAGGAUUUGUAGCCGUCGUGGUCCUUGUUGGAAUAAUCAGAAGGAAACGUCAUCACAACAGGAGAACACAGCAGAAAGCGGUGUACACCUUUAAAGAGGAGGAGCAACAGGACAUUGAUCCCUACAACACGCUCACAAGAAGAGACAAUGGGAUCCUCCAGCUGUCACAUUCUAACCCCUGACUUCUAGCACCGUUGACAAAUGACAACAGGGAAUUAGACACCUUUUUCUAUCACUAGUAAAUAGUAUUUCACCAGCCCUGGAUAUACAACUGUACAGUAUAUCUUGAUUACUGUAAUGCCCCUAUUUUUACAGCUGAUACACUGACUUUAUAUAGUUCUAUUGAUUGGUUACUGACACCUGGCUGAAUAGGUCCUGUACUGUAGAUCGUCUUCUGUUGCUGUGAAUAUCAGCACUUACUGUAUGACUCAUGUACAUUCUGUUAGGUAGAACCAAUGUUCCUGUGGACAGAUGUGAUCAUGUGCAUUUCCACCAGGUGUCAGUGUUUUGGAUUGGUAAAAGAUAUCACAACAUGCUCCGUGACAAUGUAUUGUCCUUGCGUUCAAUGUUCCAUCUCCAUGUAUCAUAUAGGCCUACAUGAGGUAAAUGUUCAAGUUUAGAGAUGUAACGACAAAACUAAACCGUCCAUUAAAACUUAAUUUCCAAACAUGCAUAAGCAUGUUUAGCAUAAUAAAUCAAACCUGUCCUGAAACUGUACACACGUGAAAGAGCAUUAAAACUUGUAAGCAGUGCGUAACUGGCAGCAGGGAAGUCAGGCGCAGGAGAGCAGAAAUGGGUAACAGCCGGAGCACUUUAAUGAUGCAAAAACAAACGGCACCCAGAACAGCAAAAUACUGGUUGAAACAACCCGUCGCCAACCACUCAGAAAUGCACCAAACACUUAAAACAAAUAAUUCCACACACAGACAUGGGGGGAACAGAGGGUUAUAUACACGUCAAAUAAUGAGGGAAUGUAAGCCAGGUGUGUGGGAAAACAAGACAAAACAAAUAGAAAAUGAAAGGUGGAUUGGCGAUGGCUAGAAAACCGGUGACGUCGACCGCCAAACGCCGCCCAAACAAGGAGAGUAACUGACUUCGGCGGAAGUCGUGACAAAAUACUACCUGAAAACGCUCAUCAUUCAGCUGUGUGUGACUUUCGUUGAUGGAAGGAUCGGACCAAGGUGCAGCGUGGUAGGCGGACAUCUUUCUUUUAUUGAUGACACUGAGAAAAAAUAUAUAUACAAAACGCAGAGUUCUGUAGGGCUGGGAAGCAACAGUACAAAAACAAGAUCCCACAAACUAAAGGUGGAAAAAGGCUGCCUAAGUAUGAUCUCCAAUCAGAGACAACGUUAGACAGCUGCCUCUGAUUGGGAACCAUACCCGGCCAACAAAGAAACAGAAAACA
Molecule: long non-coding RNA, 1707 nt
Organism: Oncorhynchus masou masou (cherry salmon)
Lineage: Eukaryota; Metazoa; Chordata; Actinopteri; Salmoniformes; Salmonidae
Exons: 4
Source: RefSeq, a predicted model, not a curated record